This 429-nucleotide ribosomal RNA is filed under the name Actinomycetes bacterium. Its description in RNAcentral is "Actinobacteria bacterium partial 16S ribosomal RNA". It matches the Rfam family "Bacterial small subunit ribosomal RNA", at positions 355 to 776 of the family's 1533-position model. Lineage: Bacteria; Bacillati; Actinomycetota; Actinomycetes. The record is from RNAcentral.
UAGGGAAUCUUCCGCAACGGGCGAAAGCCUGACGGAGCAACGCCGCGUGAGUGAUGAAGGUCUUCGGAUCGUAAAAUUCUGUUAUUAGGGAAGAACAAAUGUGUAAGUAACUAUGCACGUCUUGACGGUACCUAAUCAGAAAGCCACGGCUAACUACGUGCCAGCAGCCGCGGUAAUACGUAGGUGGCAAGCGUUAUCCGGAAUUAUUGGGCGUAAAGCGCGCGUAUGCGGUUUUUUAAGUCUGAUGUGAAAGCCCACGGCUAAACCGUGGAGGGUCAUUGGGAACUGGAAAACUUGAGUGCAGAAGAGGAAAGUGGAAUUCAAUGUGUAGCGGUGAAAUGCGCAGAGAUAUGGAGGAACACCAGUGGCGAAGGCGACUUUCUGGUCUGUAACUGACGCUGAUGUGCGAAAGCGUAGGGAUCAAACAGG